UCAAGGACCUCUCUGCCCUGCCAAAACCACAUAAAAGAAGCCUCAGAAUGAGCUUCUGGGCCUGCCUGUCUUAUCUUAGGCAGGCCCCCUCUGUUACUCUCUGCAGAGUACAUUAAAACUUUGCUUUCUUGACUUUGGUCUCUUGUCUCACUAUGUUUAACUUACCUGUGACACUGAGCCAAGUCCUUUCCUUCCUAACAUCUCCAGAAAGAAGGUAGCCCUGAUGACAUCUCAGUUUUAGCUCAUUCUGGAUUUCUGACCUCUAGAACCAUAAAAGAAUAAAUCUGUGUUGUUUUAAGCCACUAAGCUUCUGACACUGCAACAUCAGCAAUGGUCUCUAGCGUACUGCCAUACUCCUUAUCACACAAUAAGAAAAGAAAUACUCUGCAGGCAUGGUAGAUCACACAUUCUGUAUAUAUGUAUGUUAUAUAUCGUAUGUGUUACAUAUAUAUAACCUACACUAAAAUAUAUAUACAAUACAUGCUAACAUACAUGAAAAUAUAUUUGACAUAUUGGUGAUAGCUAGCAUUUUCACCAUUUAUACUGUGACUGAAGUAGAUCACAGAGUUUUGGAUGUGAUACAUUUAAUAAUUGAUGUAUUAAAGUUUGAUGAUAUGAGUAUUUAUUACAAACAAGAGUCAGUCCCGACCAUGUUGCCUCUCUUCCAUUCCUUGUGGAGACCAACUCAUAGCCCUUAGAAACUGGCUGCAAGUUGGAGAGCACUAAAAUGACAGUGGCUUAAUGAAGAUGGGGGCUCUUUUUUCAAGCUUAUAAAGUUACUAUCUGAACUAGGCAACCCAGGGAUUGUUCGGAGGCUCCAGGUGCUUCCAGUGUUCCAGGGUCCUCGCAUUUGUGCUCUGCCCUCCUGAGUUCUAGUCUCAAGGCUAUGAGUGUGGCCACUGCGGUGCCUCCACAUCACCUGCCACCCCCCUGCAAGGGCUGGGACAUGCAGGUUCUUCUCAAGGCUGAGCACCGCACAGCUGUGCUGUUAGAGGGCUGGACAGGAGGGGACAGGAGAGGACCCCGUGGGCCAGUGCUUUCCGGCAGACCGCUCUUCCCAGAGAGCCCAGGGUAUUCCUGACGCUCUGCCCUGACCUGCUGUCACACCCCUGGGCUGAGUGAGGUUGAUGUGUUCUAUCCAGGGUGUAGAAAAAUUCAUGUUGUUUGUUAGUUUUGAAUACCUUUCGCUGAGGAAGCACAGGGCUCUUUAGGGUUGCUCCAAGGGUUCCACAGACAAUAGAUAAUUUUCUACUAAAAGCAAAGAUUUAACCUUCUUGUGGAACAUCACCACCACUUUGGUGAGGUUUAUACCAGACAUUCUUGAACAUCUCAAUUCCAGGAGCUCUUUGGAUCUCUGUGGGCCAGCAGACUAACUUAACACCUCCUUCUAUGGAGUACUUAGGCUUAAAGAACUUGAUGAGCAUUUGCGUUCUAACAACUUUGUAGUGAUUUAAAAAACACACAGAAACUGGAAGUAGUAGUGUUUUUAUUUCAUUCUUAGAUAACCACAGAACCUAACCUCCUGGACAUAGCACAGCUGCUCAAAUUUGGAAUCAGAUUUUUGACACCAUCAUCUUUAUUUCCUGUUUGACAUUAAAUUUCCUGCGACAUUUGAUUUUUAUCAGGCAAACAUCUAAAAAGCCACCACCAUAAAGAAAUGACAUCAUCUGAGGGGACAUAACACAGUCUACAGUUGAAAUAGUGAACUGUCUCAAGCCACUGGCCCAUGGGGUGUAGGGCAGAGUCCAGGCCAUCACUGGGUUUUUGUUGAAAUUUUAAAUAGGCCACAGCAGUCCUGUGAGCAAGCUGUGGGGCACCAAGGCUUCCUGCAGGGCUUGGGAGCCACGAGCUUGCAUGGAGAGGAGCUUUGUGACCCUGAGAUGCCACCGCAGCUGCCAGCUUGGGUGGAGGAAGCCAGGCUAACAGGAUGCGGCCAUUAGCGCUCUCCCGGGGAACUUUUUUAUUAACAAGAAUCUUGCAGGGGUUGGCUGUGCUCCUCACCCUCUCUGGAAAGCCGCCCGAGUCCUUGAGUCAGGCGCUGCUGCUGAGAGGACAGAGCAGAGGGCAGUGCCCGCAGCCCCGGGAGCUCCCUGGUGAGCCGGCUGUGCCUCCCGGGGCAGGAGUGCAUCCUCCUCGGACCAGGCCACCAGCCCAGUUGAAAACUGGGAGCAAAGAAAGGCAAGAUGGCCAGUGGGAACAUCAGAGAAACCUGCAGUAAAUGUUAUGCUGAAACAGGCUGGUCCCACAUUAUUGCAGGUGGGCUGUCUACACUUAGGUGGACUUCAGAUGAACAAGGUCAGAGAGCAGAUUUGUAGUUUGGUAAGGAACAAUAAAUUAGAGAAGGAACCUUCUAGUACAAUAGAUCUGAUUGUGUGCCAGGCUGCUUUUUAGACAGAUUACACAGCUCUGGUGGUUUCCCCAAGGCACUUCCUAAACAAGCAUCAGAUUACAAAAUGGUGGGUGCUUGGCCGCUUGGCAAACCCAGAAUUAAAAUGAAGAUAGUUUUGUUUUGUUUUUUUCAAAGAAUGUUUCCAUUAAAGUUGGGUCCUGCUGCUUUGUUCCUAUUUCUGGUCUCUAGAUAACUGGAGUCGGGUUAGAAUCAGGCUCCCUUGGUGGCAUGCUGAUGUGUGACACCCUCCUGCAACCUGGCCUUACCGUGGACUUGACUGUCCACCUUUGCAUUGCCCAAUUUUAAUGAGAGUCUUGGUAAGUCAGCUUAGAGAGAAUUGGCCUCCCCUGAUGUCUGAUCGCAUUCCGUCCACCAGCUCCCUGACCUGCUCCUUGACUGUACAUGCCCCCAUCCGUAGUGCACUUGGAACUGAGCCUGGUUUUAUACUGACGUCUCUUCUCUCCUACUGCAAUAGUGCUGGACAAAAUCUGUUUUUAACACUUUGCUAUCCAGCUCUGGCUCUCACCGCACUGUGUACUCUCACUCCAAGUCUUGCCUUUUGCUGGAAUCCUUGACCCUUGCUACCCAGGCAUCCUGUCCUUCUCUAAUACCUGGAGGCUGGACAGCCAAAGUGUGUCACACAGGGUGAGUUUUAGCACAGCCAGUUGGACAAAGUCCAGGCCUGGAUUAGGGAACACAGUGUACAUUAUUACUGGUCACACUGGCCAGAACACAAUUGUAACAGGCCAGCACAUCAGAGGUGGGUGUGGAGCUAGGGAGACAAAGAGGCUUUGUCUGAGGGGCUGGCAGCUCGGCUGGCGGACUCCUGUUUACCAUUGGAAAUUGGGAACUGUGCAGCUAAAAGUCUUAAAGAUCAAAGUUAAAGUCUUGGAGGAGACAGAUUUGCUCAGAAAGUGAGGAUUGAAGGGCAAAUGAGGAACCAGUUAGAUUUGUUUCUGAGAUUUGAUCAGCCAAAUCAUUACGGUCUAUCUAUCUUUCAAUAAUUAAACGGCCUUAUAGCUAUUUAUAAAACUAUUUUUCAUUCUCCAUGGAAAAAAUACCAUUGUUGUCAUGACUCUGAAAAUCCCUGGCUUGUCUCUUGUCUUUUAAAUCAAUAAACAACUUUUAUGACA
This is a non-coding RNA of Manis javanica (Malayan pangolin), 3522 nucleotides long. The record is from RefSeq and is a predicted model, not a curated record. NCBI's taxonomy places the organism in Eukaryota, Metazoa, Chordata, Mammalia, Pholidota, Manidae.